Molecule: long non-coding RNA, 1422 nt
Filed under: Calidris pygmaea (Spoon-billed sandpiper)
Lineage: Eukaryota; Metazoa; Chordata; Aves; Charadriiformes; Scolopacidae
Description: lncRNA (ENSCPGG00000016741.1)
Source: RNAcentral
AUAUAUAUAUAUAUAUAUACAAAAAAAAAAAGCAAUGUCGUUGAGAAGGAAGUUGACUUUUCCGGAGCGACAGCUGGAAGCGUGCUGGGAGCCGGGUGGGUUUAUGCAAACUGAGAUGGGUGCCGCCUCAUCCCCGCCGACCGGGCUCGCGGUGGAGCCGUUCCCCUCUUGGGUGCGGGGUCGGGGUGCGGGCAGGAGAGCCGUGCGGGGACGUGGUGCUUGUAGACGAGUUGCUCAGGCCACACGUUGGUGGACGUGGUGCUUGGAGGAGGUUCUCGGCUGCGGUGCUCAGGUCACACGUCGUGGAGGUGGUGCUUGGAGGAGGUUCUCGGCUGCGGCGCUCAGGCCACACGUCUUGGACGUGGUGCUCGGACGUGGUGCGUGGACGUGGUGCUCGACCAGGGGGUGUGAACAUGGUGCUCGACCGCGGUGCUUGGACGUGGUUCAUGGACAGGGAGCUUGGGCACGGUGCUCGACCGUGGUGCUUGGACAUGGUGACAAGGGCACAGGACUCGGACGUGGUGCGUGGACAUGGUGCUUGGGCACGGUGCUCAGACGUGGUGCGUGGACAUGGUGACAUGGCACAGUACUCGGACGUGGUGCGUGGACAUGGUGCUUGGGCACGGUGCUCAGCCACGCAUCACGGACGCGGUGCUUUGACACGGUGCUCAGCCACGCAUCAUGGACAUGGUGCUUGGGCACGGUGCUCAGACAUGGUGCUUGGACAUGGUGACCGACCACGGUGCAUGGAUGUGUUGCUCGGGCACGGUGCUUGGACAUGGUGCGUGGACAUGGUGCUUGGGCACGGUGCUCAGCCACGCAUCAUGGACAUGGGGCCUGGGCAUGGUGCUUGGAUGUGGUGCGUGGACGUGGUGCUCUGGCAUGGUGCUUGGCCGCACAUCAUGGACGUGGUGCUCGGGCACGGUGCUUGGACGUGGUGCGUGGAUGUGGCACUUGGGCACGGUGCUCGGCCACGCGUCACGGACAUGGUGCUCGAGCACGGUGCUCGGACAUGGUGUGUGGACACGGUGCUUGGCCAAGGUGUGUGAACGUGGUGCUUGGCCACUGUGCUUGACCACGGUGCUUGGACAUGGUGCAUGGACAUGGUGCUUGGGCGUGGUGCUCAGCCGUGCACUGUGGACAUGGUGCUCGGGCACAGUGCUCAACCGUGGUGCUCAGAUGUGCUGUGUGGACAAGGUGCUUGGGUACGGUGCUCGGUCACGCGUUGUGGACGUGGUGCUUGGUCAUGGUGCUCAGCCAUGGUGCUUGGACAUGGUGCGUGGACAUGGUGCUUGGGCACGGUGCUCGGCCACGCAUCGUGGACAUAGUACUUGGGCAUGGUGCUUGGACGUGGCGUGUGAACGUGGUGCUUGGCCAUGUAUCAAGGACAUGGUGCUUGGCCACGGUGGUUGGGCAUGGUGC